RNAcentral lists this ribosomal RNA (497 nucleotides) under uncultured bacterium. RNAcentral's name for it is "partial 16S ribosomal RNA". It matches the Rfam family "Bacterial small subunit ribosomal RNA", at positions 28 to 507 of the family's 1533-position model. The record is from RNAcentral.
GAUGAACGCUGGCGGCGUGCCUAAUACAUGCAAGUCGAGCGGACGGACGAGAAGCUUGCUUCUCGGAUGUUAGCGGCGGACGGGUGAGUAACACGUGUAUAACCUACCUGUAAUACUGGGAUCACUUCGGGAAACCGGAUCUAAUACCGGAGAAUAUUUUGAACCGCAUGGUGCAAAGGUGAGUGACGGUCUUGCUGUCACUUAUAGAUGGAUCCGCGCUGUAUUAGCUAGUUGGUACGGUAACGGCUUACCAAGGCAACGAUGCGUAGCCGACGGCAGGGAGGGAUCGGCGACACUGGAAGGGAGCCACGGACAAGACUCCUACGGGACGCAGCAGUAGCGAACCUUCGGCAAUGGGCGGAAGCCUGACGCAGCGACGCCGCGUGAGAGAUGAAGGUCUCCGGAGCGUGAAACUCUGUUAUUAGGGAAGAACAGCUUUGUAAGUAACUGUGCCCAUCGUGACGGUAACUAAUCAGAAAGCAACGGCUAACUACGUG